Molecule: ribosomal RNA, 155 nt
Filed under: Oceanobacillus picturae
Lineage: Bacteria; Bacillati; Bacillota; Bacilli; Caryophanales; Bacillaceae
Description: 5.8S ribosomal RNA
Rfam family: Bacterial large subunit ribosomal RNA
Source: Rfam by way of RNAcentral
AAGGGCGCACGGUGGAUGCCUUGGCACUAGGAGCCGAAGAAGGACGGGACUAACACCGAUAUGUCUCGGGGAGUCGUAAGUAGACAUUGAUCCGGGAAUUUCCGAAUGGGGGAACCCACUGUUCGUAAUGGAACAGUACCGUUACCUGAAUACAU